Molecule: RNA transcript, 1683 nt
Organism: Physcomitrium patens
Lineage: Eukaryota; Viridiplantae; Streptophyta; Bryopsida; Funariales; Funariaceae
Source: RefSeq, a predicted model, not a curated record
UGACAAAUGGGCAACAAUUGACAGGUGGUCAAUCAACACUUUCAACCCAGAAAAUUAUGAAGUGAACAGAAUGUUAUGAAUUGGGCUCCAAAAUCUUUGGAUCAUGUAUCGAGUACUACAAAACUACGGAAUUGGGAUACAAACAAGUUUUCUCUAAAGGUGAUACUUUUUUGUCUAAUCCUGUUACUUCAAUUAAUCGAAUCAUGAUGUUUCUCAUUUUCUUGCCAAUGAGAAGGUGCAUUACCAACUUCUCAAACACCAUUUCUGAAAAUAAAAUCCUAGUUUAAUGCGAAAAGUUUGUCCCACACAACGAAAGCUCAUGAAGACGUUGUGAACGAGUUGCUAAACUUGGUUGUGGGCACAUGAAAGAUUCAUUUCGAUUUGUCAUCGCCACCAAGAGCUAUUCCCCAAAGCCGUGGACUGUUCUGGUAAACUGGAUCGAGUUCGUCUUCAUGAAAAAGCAGAUUAGCAACAUGACAAUGGAAGCAGCGGAUCGCGCGUCACGACAUGAUCCAGAGAAGGCGAUGCAGGGCGAUUCACGGCGAAAGAGGGAGCGGGCGGGAGAGAGCGAUGCAGCAGGGGGGGCAUGGAUAAUUAGUGUGCCAGAGCUAAGGGACGAGAAUCUAGAAGGUGCGCAUGGACGCCAGCCAAAUCUGGGCGCCGAACCUGCAACAACAGGCCGUGGUGGGAUGGGGCCCCCAUCACCCGCACCAGGCUCCAGCUCCAGCACUCCAAGGGCGACCUGGUUUGGAAUGGAGAUGAGGGCACUGCCGCUCCCUCCGAGACUGGGUCUCAGCCCAAUGACACAACUCGGCGCUCGUCAUCGCAGAGGCAGAGCGCACGGCGGCGACAGCGAGGCGUGCUCGGCUUUGCUAAACUGCUGCGACAUUGUGCGCGCCUGAAACCCUAAUUUCCCUCCUCUCUCUGUCUCUCAGUCUCUGUCUGUCCGUCUUUCUUGCUCUGUCUCUCUCUCUCUCGCCGUGUGUCGCUGGUUCUUCGCCACCAUCAUUGCUCUUCCCAAUUCAAUUGAUGUGUGGAUGGCAGCGAUGGUAGGUGGGGUUGCGGUCAUCCACACGCUCACAUCUCUCUCUUGGUCACAUCCAGUUAGGAGCUUUCUGGAGUGUACGCUUUCUCCCUUUGUGUGAGUGUGAGUGUGCGUGUGUUUACUGGAUGUAGUCCAUUACGUACAAAUGCACCUCUAUACACAUUGAAUCUGUAUUUCCUUCUCAACUACCAUGGUUUUGUUAUUUCUCCAUCCAAUGUCGAAAUACCUUAAACCACGUCACUCCCUUGAACGAACAACUAGCAGUGCGAAGAAAGUGAUGCAAUCAUAAAGCUGACGGUUAUGUAGGGAUGCAUGACAUGAGGAUGUUCAUGCAGUAAAAGAGGAGAGUGUGCACCCAACAGUUGUCUAAAAAAUUGUAGAUGGAUUUAUAGAUCAAAUGGACAUAUGAGGAGAAAAAUGGGACUUGGGAUAGACUUUGUAUAUAAGAAUAGCAUUUGGUUUGCACUUACUGUGAGCUUCUUGUAGAACAAAGAUUAACAAUUAUAGUGGUGGAAUUUUAUUCUGCAUAGAAUUAUCGUCUAAUAAAAGUAACUUGAAUAGAAAUUUGGAUAUGAUUGUAUUUCUAUAUCCUACUUGUUCAAAACCAAUGAAUGAUUAACAUGUUUACUUAAUAUAAA